RNAcentral lists this ribosomal RNA (117 nucleotides) under Deltaproteobacteria bacterium. The record is from RNAcentral. Lineage: Bacteria; Pseudomonadati; Myxococcota; Myxococcia.
UUCGGUGGCGAUAGCGGAGGGGCCACACCUGUUCCCAUCCCGAACACAGAAGUUAAGCCCUCCAGCGCCGAUGGUACUACAUGGGUAACUGUGCGGGAGAGUAGGACGCUGCCGAAA